This 269-nucleotide ribosomal RNA is filed under the name uncultured bacterium. RNAcentral describes it as "partial 16S ribosomal RNA". It matches the Rfam family "Bacterial small subunit ribosomal RNA", at positions 793 to 1055 of the family's 1533-position model. The record is from RNAcentral.
GUCCUAGCUGUAAACUAUGGCGACUAGGUGUUGGCCUCCGUUCGGGGUCAGUGCCGUAGGUAACCUGUUAAGUCGCCCACCUGGGGAGUACGGCCGCAAGGCUGAAACUCAAAGGAAUUGACGGGGCCAGCACAAGCGGUGGAACAUGUGGUUCAAUUCGAUGCUACGCGAAGAACCUUACCCAGGCUUGACAUGUAAGUAGUAGGAACCUGAAAGGGGGACGACUCGUAACCAGUCGAGAGCUUACACAGGUGCUGCAUGGCUGUCGU